Numida meleagris (helmeted guineafowl) is the source of this 1152-nucleotide long non-coding RNA. RefSeq lists it as uncharacterized. The record is from RefSeq and is a predicted model, not a curated record. The transcript has 3 exons. Lineage: Eukaryota; Metazoa; Chordata; Aves; Galliformes; Numididae.
CGUGAGGCCGCGAGGCCUGCGGAGGCCGGGGCCUGGCGCGGGCGGCCUAGGCCCGGCGGGGCCGGUACUCACGGGGAAGGCUCGGAUCCGCAUCUUGGUGUCCUUCCGGCUGCCCGUCCCCUUGCUCAGUUACAGGUUUAUCUAAGACUGAUGACACAGGAAACCUGAGUCACCUCUUAAGGACAAAACCCACAUGUAUCUAAUAUAACACAAUGGAGGUUAAAUGAAUUAUCACUUCCAAAGGCUGUGACCGAGCAGCCAGCUCAUCCUUCAGGUAGCUGAGGCAGGGUGCCCGCACCGUGACAGUGGGAGCUGUGUGCUGGCACCACGAGCGACCCCUGGGGCCACCUGAGGAAGCAGGAGAUCCAGCACUGCCUAUCAUGGUGCUGUGGGUGAGGGUUUCUGACCCUGUGGGUGACGGGCAGCUCUCUGGAUGUUUUUCCUUACAGAUGCCUUCCAGCAGACAGAUGUAACACUUGCAAAUAAAUAAAUAAAUAAAUAAAUAAAUAAACAAACAUGACCUUUUCCCUUUUGUGAGUGCGCAAGGGCAGGAAAUACUGGGGCACAGGAGAAACAUAAAGGGGUUCAGGCCGAGCUGCACGAGGGCUGGGCAGGCAGCGCCCACCACUGGGCCGUGAUGGGGCACACUAGGGGUGUGCCCAGCUCAGCCAGCAGGCAUCCCGUCUGCCACACUGUAGAGUGUCAGCUCUCAUGGGCACGCGUUUACAUAAUUAUUUGGUAUUGCCUGGGAAAUACAGAGGGUUUUGUGUAUGCACUGGCACCACGUGAAGGCUAGCUAGCCCUCCGUGGCCCGACUAUAGGCAUGCAUCAAGCUUUUAUCACUUCUCCCAAGCCGACUCCGCGCACUGUUUGGCUGGAGACUGAUUUCGAGAAAAACUCUGCUUUAUUGACCACAAAGGCCCAAUAGAGCCUGUGGGGUGGAAAGAGAGGUCAGGAGAAAAAGGCAUCGCCUGAUCUCAGUGCAGGGUGACCCGCUGCGGGACCUGCCACCUGUAGGGCAGAGCGACAGAGCAAAAUGCGCCGUGCCACAGCCGCCACGGCAGUGUGCUCCACCGCCUACAGCCUCGCGAAGGAGUACCCCGCCGCCUGCCCCCUUCCCCAAAAGCUCCCGGCCGCGGGCCUGGCUCGGCG